AUGCUCGACACCGGCAGCGACCUCGUCUGGACGCAAUGCUUCUGCCAGGUCUGCUUCCCGCAGCCGUUUCCGGAGCUGGACACCUCCGCCUCGGGCACAGCCCGCGGCGUCUCCUGCUUCGACCCCCUCUGCGCGCAGGGGGGCUUAUCGCUCUCCGGGUGCGCCGUCAGCGACAACUCCUGCAUCUACACCGACUCCUACGGUGACAACUCGGUCACGACGGCGAAGCUGUACGAAGACACCUUCACCUUCCAACAGGCGCCCAACGGCAAGGCCGUCGUCGUGCCCAAUCUCCGCUUUGGUUGCAGCAUGUUCAACACCGGCAUGUUCGGAUCAAACGAGUCCGGCAUCGCCGGCUUCGGGCGUGGGGCGCCCAGCCCCGCGUUCCUGGGCACGCCGGACAACCUUCAAGCGCAGGCCACGGGGCGUCUCCAAUCCACCCCGUUGGUGCGAAACCCCGAAUCCAAUCACUACUACCUUUCGCUCAAGGGCAUCACCGUGGGCAAGACGCGGCUGCCGUUCGACGCGUCGGCGUUCACGCUCAAGGGCGACGGCUCCGGCGGCACGAUCAUCGACUCCGGCUUGGCCCUGACGAGCGUCCCGGAGGCCGUGUACCGGAGCCUCGUGGAGGAGUUCGAGUCGCAGGUGCCGCUGCCUGUCAACAAAAACAACACCGACGAGCACGAGGGCUUGUUGUGCUUCACCGCUUCGCCGAAGAAGAAGGAGACCGCCAUGCCGAAGUUGAUCCUCCACCUGGAGGGCGCGGACUGGGACCUUCAACGGGAGAACUACGUGUUGUACACCGAGGAGGACGGGCUGUGCGUGGUGAUAAGUUCCGCGGGCGAGGACAGCAGGUCGCUCAUAGGCAACUUCCAGCAGCAGAACACGCACAUCGUCUACGACCUUGAGCACAAUAUGCUGGUGUUCGUGCCCGCGCGCUGCGACAAGCUGUGA
RNAcentral lists this ribosomal RNA (954 nucleotides) under Triticum aestivum (bread wheat). RNAcentral describes it as "partial small subunit ribosomal RNA". Lineage: Eukaryota; Viridiplantae; Streptophyta; Magnoliopsida; Poales; Poaceae. The record is from RNAcentral.